CGGACGGGUGAGUAACGCGUGAGGAAUCUGCCGAGAAGUGGGGGAUAGCUCGCCGAAAGGCGAAUUAAUACCGCAUAUGGUCAGUGAAGACAUCUUCACAACACCAAAGCCGGGGCAACCUGGCGCUUCUUGAUGACCCCGCGGCCUAUCAGCUAGUUGGUGAGGUAACGGCUCACCAAGGCUAUGACGGGUAGCUGGUCUGAGAGGACGACCAGUCACACUGGAACUGAGACACGGUCCAGACACCUACGGGUGGCGGCAGUCGAGAAUUUUUCACAAUGGGGGCAACCCUGAUGGAGCGACGCCGCGUGGAGGAUGAAGGCUUUCGGGUUGUAAACUCCUGUCAUUUGAGAACAAGGUGCAUCGAUUAACUGUCGAUGUAUUGAUAGUAUCAGAAGAGGAAGAGACGGCUAACUCUGUGCCAGCAGCCGCGGUAAUACAGAGGUCUCAAGCGUUGUUCGGAUUCAUUGGGCGUAAAGGGUGCGUAGGUGGCGGGGUAAGUCAGGUGUGAAAUUCCGGAGCUCAACUCCGAAACUGCAUUUGAUACUGCCUUGCUUGAGGACUGGAGAGGAGACUGGAAUUUACGGUGUAGCAGUGAAAUGCGUAGAUAUCGUAAGGAAGACCAGUGGCGAAGGCGGGUCUCUGGACAGAUCCUGACACUGAGGCACGAAGGCUAGGGGAGCAAAAGGGAUUAGAUACCCCUGUAGUC
RNAcentral lists this ribosomal RNA (709 nucleotides) under uncultured bacterium. Its description in RNAcentral is "bacterial SSU rRNA". It matches the Rfam family "Bacterial small subunit ribosomal RNA", at positions 99 to 795 of the family's 1533-position model. The record is from RNAcentral.